This is a non-coding RNA of Cinara cedri, 712 nucleotides long. The record is from the annotation of a GenBank genome assembly. NCBI's taxonomy places the organism in Eukaryota, Metazoa, Arthropoda, Insecta, Hemiptera, Aphididae.
UAAANAUCAACAGCAACCACACUAAAAAGAUAGACUCUCAACUAAACAGUUAUGUGAAUCAUAACAAGCAUUAUUAUUUAAAUAAUGAAUAAUUUUCUACAUGUGUGCUUUGUGUUGUUUGUAGAGUUUGUGGUAUGUUAGUUCACCGGUAUUUGGUUUGUGUUGACAUACCAGUUUUAUUUUUUGAUUUAUCAUUAUUUUUCAGUAAAUACUGUAAAAUUAGUAAAUACUAUAAAUUAUAUAAACCAUGUGUGUGGUUAUCAGGUUACCAUAGUACAAAAAAUAAUUGAAAAUAUUCUGCAGUAGAUCAAAUGGUGGUUACUGAAACAGUAGUAUACUGGUAUUUGAAAAUACCAGUGAUUCACCGGUAUACUGAAAAUACUGCCAGCUCUAGUUGGAUGGUAACCAAAUUAUUAAAUAUUCUAAUCUAACACGUACCGAAAUAAAAAUGUUUGUGUGACUUAACACUGCUAGGUCCUCAGUUUAUGUUAUGAGUAGGACAACAUUUUGUACCGUAUUUAUGAUAUAAGUAUAGAACUAAGUAUCAAAUAUUUAUAAUACAUAACACAUGGUAUUUGAAUAUCAUAUUUUAUUUUUAAGCCAACAUAUUAAAUACAAUAAUAAAUAGGUGGUAAAUGGAAAGGUACAUAAAGUAAUUUAUUUUAUAUAUGUUAACAACAAUUAACCAUUGCCAAUCAAAUAUGAUUUUGAG